Molecule: ribosomal RNA, 619 nt
Filed under: uncultured Chloroflexota bacterium
Lineage: Bacteria; Bacillati; Chloroflexota
Description: bacterial SSU rRNA
Rfam family: Bacterial small subunit ribosomal RNA
Source: RNAcentral
CCUACGGGAGGCAGCAGCUAGGAAUCUUGGGAAUGGGCGAAAGCCUGACCCAGCAACGCCGCGUGGGCGAUGAAGGCCUUCGGGUCGUAAAGCCCUUUUGCGAGGGAAGAUAAUGACGGUACCUCGCGAAUAAGCCACGGCUAACUACGUGCCAGCAGCCGCGGUAAUACGUAGGUGGCAAGCGUUGUCCGGAUUUACUGGGCGUAAAGGGCGUGCAGGCGGUUUGUUAAGUUCAGGGUGAAAGCUCCCGGCUCAACUGGGAGAGGUCCUUGGAUACUGGCAAACUAGAGGGAUACAGAGGAAAGUGGAAUUCCCGGUGUAGUGGUGAUAUGCGUAGAUAUCGGGAGGAACACCAGUGGCGAAGGCGGCUUUCUGGGCAUUUCCUGACGCUGAGACGCGAAAGCGUGGGGAGCGAACCGGAUUAGAUACCCGGGUAGUCCACGCCGUAAACGAUGGACACUAGGUGUAGGGGGUAUCGACCCCCUCUGUGCCGCAGCUAACGCAAUAAGUGUCCCGCCUGGGGAGUACGGCCGCAAGGCUAAAACUCAAAGGAAUUGACGGGGGCCCGCACAAGCAGCGGAGCGUGCGGUUUAAUUCGUCGCAACGCGAAGAACCUUAC